Molecule: ribosomal RNA, 465 nt
Filed under: Vreelandella stevensii
Lineage: Bacteria; Pseudomonadati; Pseudomonadota; Gammaproteobacteria; Oceanospirillales; Halomonadaceae
Description: partial 16S ribosomal RNA
Rfam family: Bacterial small subunit ribosomal RNA
Source: RNAcentral
CCUACGGGAGGCAGCAUUUUUUCCUCUUUUACAAUGGGGGCAACCCUGAUCCAGCCAUGCCGCGUGUGUGAAGAAGGCCCUCGGGUUGUAAAGCACUUUCAGUGAGGAAGAACGCCUGGUGGUUAAUACCCAUCAGGAAAGACAUCACUCACAGAAGAAGCACCGGCUAACUCCGUGCCAGCAGCCGCGGUAAUACGGAGGGUGCGAGCGUUAAUCGGAAUUACUGGGCGUAAAGCGCGCGUAGGUGGCUUGAUAAGCCGGUUGUGAAAGCCCCGGGCUCAACCUGGGAACGGCAUCCGGAACUGUCAAGCUAGAGUGCAGGAGAGGAAGGUAGAAUUCCCGGUGUAGCGGUGAAAUGCGGAGAGAUCGGGAGGAAUACCAGUGGCGAAGGCGGCCUUCUGGACUGACACUGACACUGAGGUGCGAAAGCGUGGGUAGCAAACAGGAUUAGAUACCCGGGUAGUC